Ochotona curzoniae (black-lipped pika) is the source of this 107-nucleotide small nuclear RNA. Lineage: Eukaryota; Metazoa; Chordata; Mammalia; Lagomorpha; Ochotonidae. The record is from RefSeq and is a predicted model, not a curated record.
GUGCUUGCUUCAGCAGCACAUAUACUAAAAUUGGAACGACACAGAGAAGAUUAGCAUGACCCCUGUGCAAGGAUCACACACACACACACAAAAACACAUUGCUUUGU